GUUUCUCUUCUUUAAUGUGUUAAUUGUACUAUAUAUAACAUUAUUUUAAAAUUUCAAAAAGUUUAUGUCACAUACAAAAACCAUCAAUAAAAAAUAUAAUUCUCCAUCUACAACCAGAAAAAAGAAAAACUAACAUUGGAAAAACAAAAAAUUAAUGUAAAAGAAACAAACCGACAAAUAAUAUUAUAAAUAAAAUAAAUUUAUAAGACACAAUCCGCGCGA
This 222-nucleotide long non-coding RNA is filed under the name Brassica rapa (field mustard). RNAcentral's name for it is "long non-coding RNA (BRAP_LNC007762)". Lineage: Eukaryota; Viridiplantae; Streptophyta; Magnoliopsida; Brassicales; Brassicaceae. The record is from RNAcentral.